GGCGAGUGAAGCGGCAACAGCUCAAAUUUGAAAUCUGGCUCUUUUAGAGUCCGAGUUGUAAUUUGCAGAGGGCGCUUUGGCUUUGGCAGCGGUCCAAGUUCCUUGGAACAGGACGUCACAGAGGGUGAGAAUCCCGUACGUGGUCGCUGGCUAUUGCCGUGUAAAGCCCCUUCGACGAGUCGAGUUGUUUGGGAAUGCAGCUCUAAAUGGGAGGUACAUUUCUUCUAAAGCUAAAUAUUGGCCAGAGACCGAUAGCGCACAAGUAGAGUGAUCGAAAGAUGAAAAGCACUUUGGAAAGAGAGUCAAACAGCACGUGAAAUUGUUGAAAGGGAAGCGCUUGCAGCCAGACUUGCUUACAGUUGCUCAUCCGGGUUUCUACCCGGUGCACUCUUCUGUAGGCAGGCCAGCAUCAGUUUGGGCGGUAGGAUAAAGGUCUCUGUCACGUACCUCCUUUCGGGGAGGCCUUAUAGGGGAGACGACAUACUACCAGCCUGGACUGAGGUCCGCGCAUCUGCUAGGAUGCUGGCGUAAUGGCUGUAAGCGGCCCGUCUUGAAACACGGACC
This 564-nucleotide ribosomal RNA is filed under the name Alternaria alternata. RNAcentral's name for it is "eukaryotic LSU rRNA". It matches the Rfam family "Eukaryotic large subunit ribosomal RNA", at positions 88 to 667 of the family's 3401-position model. Lineage: Eukaryota; Fungi; Ascomycota; Dothideomycetes; Pleosporales; Pleosporaceae. The record is from RNAcentral.